RNAcentral lists this long non-coding RNA (819 nucleotides) under Sparus aurata (gilthead seabream). RNAcentral describes it as "lncRNA (ENSSAUG00010004910.1)". The record is from RNAcentral. Lineage: Eukaryota; Metazoa; Chordata; Actinopteri; Spariformes; Sparidae.
AUGAGGCGUCUAUGUAUAUAUGUCUGUGGCUGUGUCCAAAUUCAGGGGCACCAUCCUUCGGAGUCUUGUCAUCAACAUGCUAAUAAAAUUUUGGAAAAAAAAAAAAAAAAAGGACCGAACAUGGCCGGCUCGCUCCAAUUAGGAGAUACUGAGCGGGCAGUUAUGGCAGGUGUGCCUGUUGCACUCCAAGGUGCACUUCCGCCGGUACCGUCCACACCGUUAACGGUCUCCACACCCCAGGUUAACCCACAGGCCCCUACAGCUGUGUCCUCAGGCACUGCCACCUUUGCUACCACUAUGACAUCACUGAGAUCAGAUGGGCAUACAGUACUUUCCAAAGAGGACAUUGAGGGUUUGCUGCUGCUGGGAACAACGCUUUCUGAAGUGGCUUCAGUCCUGUGGAUCACCGGACCCACUUUAUACAAGCUGAUGUGGGAAUACAACAUAAGGCACACAAAAUUCAGUACCAUUUCUGAUUAGGAAUUGGAUGCUUGAUAUUUUCUAUGAACUGGAGUCAAUGGAGGCCUUGGAUGUAGACAAUGAAUGGGAAUUAUUUUGUCUUCAUUUUGUGUACAUUCUAAGGAUCAAUUGCACAUUAGAUGAGUUUAAAGCUGCAUUUAACAAUCAUUCAAUCACAUCUCAAGUAAACAGAACCCCACUUCAGCUUUUCACACUAGACAAACAACUCUUGAGCCAAUAAUAAUGAAGGUACUUAAGUAAAGAAUGUAACAUUAACAUGUCAAUCAGUAGUGGUGUACAUUUAACAAUGCUGUACUGUAAAUACUUUUUGAGCAGAUUGGUAGAAAGGCUAAACAGUUU